UGAACCCUGCACUGAUUGCUGGAGGCCUGAACCUGCCUGUGGUGCCUGGUGGUGGGGCAGGUUUCGUUGGACAGCCACAGUUUGUGCAGGUUGUUCCUAGAGUCCCUGCUUUUGCUCUGCCGGCCCCUGUUCCUAAUGUAUACCCUGUUCCUGCAGUCAACACGCUUCCUUUCGCUGGAUUCCCUCAAAUGGCCGCUAUGAAUCCUCCUCAGCAGCCUCAGAUGGGGUUUCCAGGUGUUGCCAUGCAACAGCAGCUUCCCCCACAGCCUGAUCCUCUCAGAAGAUUCAGGCGUCAGAUUAUGAAACAGGGCAACAACAUGAAGAUCACUAUGGAUACUCAGAUUCCAGCUCCUACUGACAGCACAACAACUACUCUGUGUGAUGAAGAUGGUCAACAUGUGGAUAAUUAACUAAUAAUUAUUAUGAC
This is a long non-coding RNA of Solea solea (common sole), 427 nucleotides long. RefSeq lists it as uncharacterized. Lineage: Eukaryota; Metazoa; Chordata; Actinopteri; Pleuronectiformes; Soleidae. The transcript has 6 exons. The record is from RefSeq and is a predicted model, not a curated record.